Molecule: long non-coding RNA, 262 nt
Organism: Pseudophryne corroboree (corroboree frog)
Lineage: Eukaryota; Metazoa; Chordata; Amphibia; Anura; Myobatrachidae
Exons: 3
Source: RefSeq, a predicted model, not a curated record
CCACAUACAGUAGUUCUUCCCAACAGAGAAAUUUGCAGUCAUUGGAAGACCUACAGGAAAGAUGACAAUCAGCUUCCGCUUCAUAUUAAAAUGUGGCAACCACAUAGCUCUUCCCAACUGAGAAAUUUGCAGUCAUUGGAAGACCUACAGGAAAGAUGACGAUCAGCUUCCACUUCAUGUUAAAAAGAUUCACUGCUGCCUGUCUGACGUGAUGCCUUAUUCACUGACCUGAGAUAAGCAGCGGGAGAUUAGUAAACUGGGU